This 460-nucleotide ribosomal RNA is filed under the name uncultured bacterium. RNAcentral describes it as "partial 16S ribosomal RNA". It matches the Rfam family "Bacterial small subunit ribosomal RNA", at positions 338 to 795 of the family's 1533-position model. The record is from RNAcentral.
CCUACGGGAGGCAGCAGUGAGGAAUAUUGGUCAAUGGACGAGAGUCUGAACCAGCCACGCAGCGUGAAUGAUGACUGCCCUCUGGGUUGUAACCUUCUUUUAUAAAGGAAUAAUACGAGGCUUGUGUGCCUUUUUGCAUGUACUUUAUGAAUACGGAUCGGCUAACUCCGUGCCAGCAGCCGCGGUACUACGGAGGAUCCGAGCGUUCUCCGAAUUUAUUGGGUUUAAGGGGAGCGUAGAUGGGAUGGUAAGUCAGUGGUGAAAGUUUGCGGCUCAACCGUAAAAUUGCAAUUGAUACUGGCAGUCUUGAGUACAGUAGAGGUAGGCGGAAUUCGUGGUGUAGCGGUGAAAUGCUUAGAUAUCACGAAGAACCCCGAUUGCGAAGGCAGCUUACUAAACUGUGACUGACAUUGAGGCUCGAAAGUGUGGGUAGCAAACAGGAUUAGAUACCCUAGUAGUC